AGGUUUCUCAUUUUCAAGGGAUAGUGUCAACUCGGAAGAGUUUCGAGAUGAUUGGAUUGGAACCGUAAUGAUGUCUUGGCAUGGAUCAGCGGGUGUUGGAUCGAAGUAUUCCGGUUGAACGAGGCCAGGGUAUGCGGAAUGAUUCGUGUCUCUGGGAAAAACCCGGUUAAAUACGGCGUUAUGAGUAACGUGAAUGCCUUAAAUUAUCAGAUUGUAGAAGAAAAUAUUGCGGGUAAAGCUAAGGAGUCGGAUGGAUUUUUAGCGUGCGUCAUCCUUUGUGUUAGAUUUUAUAUCCGUAUUCUUGCGAAAGACAAAUUCGGAUCCUAUUACCAAACGUUAAGGAACUACCGUGUGGAAAGCUCGUCACGCAAUCUACAUAUCCUACUUAUUUGUUACUUUGCUGCAUUCAACAAACUGGGACGAGUAAGUCUUCUUAUUGAAAAAGUUUGGCUCAAUGAUACAAUUGUUUUUAAUGGUUCAAAAGUGCUUUAAUUUGGCAGAUUUCUUCAUUUGAGGCAACUUUAACAAUUCAUUCUUCUUCUCGCCAACAAGCUACAAUGUGCCAGAGUCAAUUCAAAUCGUAGAGGAAGUGGUUGUGAUCCAGGUAACGUAACGAGUAAUUCGGGUGUACACACCUGCAAAUCGAGGAUCAGCACAGCCCUUGCCGAAGCUGGUGAUACCAAUUUGAAC
This is a long non-coding RNA of Daphnia carinata, 690 nucleotides long. RefSeq lists it as uncharacterized. NCBI's taxonomy places the organism in Eukaryota, Metazoa, Arthropoda, Branchiopoda, Diplostraca, Daphniidae. The transcript is spliced from 3 exons. The record is from RefSeq and is a predicted model, not a curated record.